GCUCACAUAGUUUAAUAAAAAUACUAGAUUGUGAUUCUAGAUUCGAAAGUUAAAGUCUUUCUAUGAGCC
RNAcentral lists this transfer RNA (69 nucleotides) under Proteus anguinus (olm). Its description in RNAcentral is "tRNA-His". It matches the Rfam family "tRNA". Rfam says of the family: Transfer RNA (tRNA) molecules are approximately 80 nucleotides in length. The record is from RNAcentral. Lineage: Eukaryota; Metazoa; Chordata; Amphibia; Caudata; Proteidae.